This 271-nucleotide small nuclear RNA is filed under the name Erinaceus europaeus (western European hedgehog). Its description in RNAcentral is "7SK RNA". It matches the Rfam family "7SK RNA", at positions 3 to 252 of the family's 331-position model. Rfam says of the family: 7SK was discovered as an abundant small nuclear RNA in the mid-70s but a possible function has only recently been suggested. Two independent studies have found that 7SK RNA binds the CDK9/cyclin T complex (known as elongation factor P-TEFb). The record is from Rfam by way of RNAcentral. Lineage: Eukaryota; Metazoa; Chordata; Mammalia; Eulipotyphla; Erinaceidae.
AUGUGAGGGCGAUCUGGCUGACAUCUGUCACCCCAUUGAUCACCGGGGUUGAUUCAGCUGAUCUGGCUGGUUAGGCGGGUGUCCCCUUCCUCCCUCACCGCUCCAUGUCAGUCUAAGAGGACGGCCUUCCCCGAAUAGAGACGGACAGAUCUUCAGUCUAGGGUAUACGAGUAGCUGCACUCCCCUGCUAGAACCUCCAAACAAGCUCUCAAGGGAAUGUACGUGCUCUACUAGCAACUGUCUCUGCCUCCCCCCUGUUUUCUACAUUCAG